GAAGCUCAUGGCAAAGCAGUACAACCUUAAGCUUCUGCACAAAGAGCUGCCAUCCCAGCUGUGUCUCUGGGUGGACAGCCUUGAAUCACUCUGGGAGCAUAGCAGUGACCUUCCUGAGUAGCUGAAUUUUGCAGGUGUGCAUUAAAUGGCUCCAAGUUAUAAGCUGUCUGUGAAGACCCCCUGGACUCCGAUGAAGAUGUGCUAGAUGAAGAUCUCAGUGCUUCACUCUCAACCUCUUUUGAACAGAACUGUUACAGCUGCUUCAGCUGCAUUUGUAGAAAGGGAGCCACGCAAAGCUGAACACUCACAAAUAACAGUGAGAAUCCCUUUUCCAGCGGCACAUGCAGUCAGCACUUUCAUUCAUCUCUGCAUUAACAACCAAUCACACAGUGCCUGCAACAGUCAUUGCCACGGAGUUAUCAAAUUUUUCAGCUGCAAACUCUGAUCCCUACAGAGAUUAAAUCACAGAAGCAACCCAAACAAAAUCAGUGGAGUGCAGCUAAUGAAGUGCAUGCACGGAUCUGCACAAAGUCACAGCCCUGAGUAUUUAUCAGGCACCAAAUGGGCUAGUAACCAGAUGCUGAAAGAAAACACAAAUAAAAAGAAAUAAAACAGCACCACCUCAGUAAAUAUAUAUAUAUAUAUGUCAGAAGUGAAAGACAAAUACGAGUCAACUUUUGUCAAUAUAAAUGACAGAAGACAAUUGAAAGGAAAAUAAAAGAAUCAAACUGUAACCUUGAAAGAUCCCACAAACAAAGAGGUCAACUGAAAACUCUAGUUUAUGUUAUCUGAUAUUACUCCAGGCUUCUUAGUGCUGACAAAAAAAGCAAGGCUGUCUCUAGAACAAACUGCUGGGCUGAAAAGAAGUACAAAGCCUCAGAAGGAUGAUCAUUCUUCCCAAAGCUGCCCCACACACCAGAUGUGAAUUGUGCCGAGGGACACGAGCCCUGGGAGAGCACAAGGAGAAACAGAAGAUUAAAAGUCAACAAAAAACACAACAUAUUUGCUGGUGCUGCUGACUGAGAAGGCAGCUUGAGAGAGCUGAGAGAACAGCAGCAGAAGAGGAUGGUCUGAUGCCAGAGAAUCAUUAACCAUGGAAAUAAUAAUAGCAAAAUAAAUCAUGCAAAUAGCUGAAGCUUUCUUGCUUGAAGGUAUAAUGUACCACUGCUGGCUUCCUGAAUAGAAGAAAUACAUCUCCUACCUAUACAACCAUUGUGGGACAUAAGUCUUCUUUAUAACUAUCCACAUCUGUUUAUAUAGAUCAAAAUAAAGCAAUUUGGAUAAGACUG
Long non-coding RNA from Gallus gallus (chicken), 1289 nucleotides. RefSeq lists it as uncharacterized. Lineage: Eukaryota; Metazoa; Chordata; Aves; Galliformes; Phasianidae. The transcript is spliced from 3 exons. The record is from RefSeq and is a predicted model, not a curated record.